Molecule: ribosomal RNA, 492 nt
Filed under: uncultured bacterium
Lineage: Bacteria
Description: partial 16S ribosomal RNA
Rfam family: Bacterial small subunit ribosomal RNA
Source: RNAcentral
AGUGAACGCUGGCGUUAGGCCUAACACAUGCAAGUCGAACGGCAGCACAGUAAGAGCUUGCUCUUACGGGUGGCGAGUGGCGGACGGGUGAGGAAUACAUCGGAAUCUACUUUUUCGUGGGGGAUAACGUAGGGAAACUUACGCUAAUACCGCAUACGACCUACGGGUUAAAGCAGGGGAUCUUCGGACCUUGCGCGAUUGAAUGAGCCGAUGUCGGAUUAGCUAGUUGGCGGGGUAAAGGCCCACCAAGGCGACGAUCCGUAGCUGGUCUGAGAGGAUGAUCAGCCAAACUGGAACUGAGACACGGUCCAGACUCCUACGGGAGGCAGAAGUGGGGAAUAUUGGACAAAGGGCGCAAGCCUGAUCCAGCCAUACCGCGUGGGUGAAGAAGGCCUUCGGGUUGUAAAGCCCUUUUGUUGGGAAAGAAAAGCAGCAGGUUAAUAACCCGCUGUUCUGACGGUACCCAAAGAAUAAGCACCGGCUAACUUAGUG